GACGAACGCUGGCGGCGUGCUUAACACAUGCAAGUCGAACGGAAAGGCCCUGCUUUUGUGGGGUGCUCGAGUGGCGAACGGGUGAGUAACACGUGAGUAACCUGCCCUUGACUUUGGGAUAACUUCAGGAAACUGGGGCUAAUACCGGAUAGGAGCUCCUGCUGCAUGGUGGUGGUUGGAAAGUUUCGGCGGUUGGGGAUGGACUCGCGGCUUAUCAGCUUGUUGGUGGGGUAGUGGCUUACCAAGGCUUUGACGGGUAGCCGGCCUGAGAGGGUGACCGGCCACAUGGGGACUGAGAUACGGCCCAGACUGCUACGGGAGGCAGCAGUGGGGAAUAUUGCACAAUGGGCGGAAGCCUGAUGCAGCAACGCCGCGUGCGGGAUGACGGCCUUCGGGUUGUAAACCGCUUUCGCCUGUGACGAAGCGUGAGUGACGGUAAUGGGUAAAGAAGCACCGGCUAACUACGUG
RNAcentral lists this ribosomal RNA (468 nucleotides) under uncultured bacterium. Its description in RNAcentral is "partial 16S ribosomal RNA". It matches the Rfam family "Bacterial small subunit ribosomal RNA", at positions 28 to 507 of the family's 1533-position model. The record is from RNAcentral.